AGCCCAUGGUGAGGGCACUUUCUCAAGAGGUCCUUGUAUCUCUUGAAUGCAUAUAGAGUGUUUCUAGAUCCAUCUGCACAAAAGAAGAGAUAUCAUUCCUUAAUUU
This is a non-coding RNA of Gossypium hirsutum (cotton), 106 nucleotides long. Lineage: Eukaryota; Viridiplantae; Streptophyta; Magnoliopsida; Malvales; Malvaceae. The record is from Rfam.